This is a long non-coding RNA of Amphiprion ocellaris (clown anemonefish), 1636 nucleotides long. The record is from Ensembl. NCBI's taxonomy places the organism in Eukaryota, Metazoa, Chordata, Actinopteri, Pomacentridae.
AGCUCUCAGCAGCCAAUCAGAGGCUACGCAGGCCACGCUCAGCCUGUCGGCUCAGAGGUGAAGUGCAGGCGCGCUGCUCUUCCGGUCCCUUCUGAUGUCAGCCAGAGAAACGAGGGAAGUAGCAUGCUAAGAGGAAGAGAAAACCAGGAUAAAACCUCGGAGUUUACCUGUGAAAAGGAAAAAAAACAGUUGGAGCACUUACCCAGUGGAGGUCCGGAGCCAAGUGACUGAACGAAGGAGAGAGUUACGCAGGCUAACCACUUGCCUUUCACCCAGAGAGCCGCAGCAAGGUCCGACAUCAGCGUGCUCCGCCUUGAUACACAGAGAGUAACGGUGGAAGCUGAAUUAGUGAGGAUGACUCCUGCUCCUGUCAUCUCUAAGCUCCUCACACAUCUUUACCUGCACAUGAGGAAAAUCACUCCUGUAGAAUGCAGAUGUUCAGAGGGAGAUGAUGCCACAUCUGGUCCAGCUGAUGGAAGGUCUUGAAGUUCUCUGACUGGCCUCGACUGAAGAUGGUCGUCUCACUGGAUUUAAGAUGCACAAUGAGGGACGUCUGCAGAGACUGAGAAAGAGUCUCACCACAUCCUGACAUGAGGAAAAAGACUUUAUUGAAGACUACAAUGAGAAAAACUAUCAGACAGCAGACGGCUGCAUUCAAGAGAAGAAGACCAUCAAACAUCCACGUCAGCUGAUGGAGGUCCAAGAGUCUCACUGAACAAACAACCUACAGAGUGAAGACCUCAAAUCUGAUUGGACGGCCUCCUAUUCAGCUACAUGUUUGAACAAAUGCCUCUAAGUUGAUUUGUUUUCUAAAAUAAAUCUAGUUUGAGUCCUAAUCUAUGCCUGUGUGUUUGCUUCUUUACACCGCUGUUAACAGUUUAGGCUGUUAGAUUGUUCCAGAUAAGACAAGUACAAGAUUCUUCAGAGCCGUUGUACCACGAGCCUGACAGGAAGAACUCCAACAGCUACUGAAUGUUCCUGUGGUUCCCUCAAGGCUACAGGAGGAGCCCUACGAGGACGAGCCGGUGCACCUGAUGGCGGCCAGUCGCUGUGGUUCAAAGCCAAUACCGACUACGUGGACUUCUACUGGACCACACGGAAGCCUUCAAACCAGACCAACAAGUUCAGCGACUCCCCGACUCGUGGGUCUGAGGACGCCGCCGAGCCUCGGCUCAGCCGGCCUCCUGUCUGUGGGUGUUUGAGUGCUGAGAGGUUUGUGGAUGCAUGUGAAUGUGUCUGUGUUGAAACAGCAGCUUUUGACUCAGUAACGCCGGGAAAAACCAAGAGCUCCUUUAUCUGUGACUUCCACUAAAAAACUGAAGAAAAUAAGUUUGCCAGAGUUCUGACUGACAACAGAUUAUUAAAUAAUGAAAAUAAUCGUUUAAAUAUUCCUUUAAACAAUCCUUUUAGGUCUACAUUUCCUUUACACUGACUUCUUGGUAUAUGUACAAGUAUUUUGGGUGGAAUAUACCAUCAGACCAACCUCCAAGGUUUACAGUAGUGAAUUUUAGGUGGAAUAUACCAUUAAACUCACCUUUUAGGUGUACAAUUUUAGGUGGAAUUUUCUUCCAAACUGUCUUUUACUCUACAUUUAAGGAUGUUUAGGAUGGUAUAUUCUUCCGACCCAACUUCUCAG